RNAcentral lists this ribosomal RNA (468 nucleotides) under uncultured bacterium. Its description in RNAcentral is "partial 16S ribosomal RNA". It matches the Rfam family "Bacterial small subunit ribosomal RNA", at positions 28 to 507 of the family's 1533-position model. The record is from RNAcentral.
GACGAACGCUGGCGGCGUGCUUAACACAUGCAAGUCGAACGGAAAGGCCCAGCUUUUGUGUGGUGCUCGAGUGGCGAACGGGUGUGUAACACGUGAGUAACCUUCCCUUUACUUUGGGAUAACUUGAGGAAACUGGGGCUACUACAUGCUACGAGCUCCUGCUGCUUGGUGGGGGUUGGAAAGCUCCGGGGGUUGGGGAUAGACUCGGGGCUUAUCAGCUGGUUGGGGGGGUAGUGGCUUACCAAGGCUUUGGAGGCUCGCCUGCCUGGGUGGUUGACCGGGCACAUGGGGACUGAGAGAGGGGCCAGACGGCUACGGGAGGCAGCAGUGGGGAAUAUUGCACAAUGGGCGGAAGCCUGGUGCAGAAACGCCGCGUGCGGGAAGACGGCCUUGGGGUUAGAAACCGCAGUCGCCUGAUACGAAGCGUGAUUGACGGUAAUGGGAAAAGAAGCACCGGCUAACUACGUG